UGGGGAAUAUUGCACAAUGGGCGAAAGCCUGAUGCAGCAACGCCGCGUGAGUGAUGAAGGCCUUCGGGUUGUAAAGCUCUGUCUUCUGGGACGAUAAUGACGGUACCAGAGGAGGAAGCCACGGCUAACUACGUGCCAGCAGCCGCGGUAAUACGUAGGUGGCAAGCGUUGUCCGGAUUUACUGGGCGUAAAGGAUGCGUAGGCGGAUACUUAAGUCAGAUGUGAAAAUCCCGGGCUUAACUUGGGAACUGCAUUUGAAACUGGGUAUCUAGAGUGCGGGAGAGGAAAGUGGAAUUCCUAGUGUAGCGGUGAAAUGCGUAGAGAUUAGGAAGAACACCGGUGGCGAAGGCGACUUUCUGGACCGUAACUGACGCUGAGGCAUGAAAGCGUGGGGAGCAAACA
This 402-nucleotide ribosomal RNA is filed under the name uncultured bacterium. Its description in RNAcentral is "bacterial SSU rRNA". It matches the Rfam family "Bacterial small subunit ribosomal RNA", at positions 355 to 774 of the family's 1533-position model. The record is from RNAcentral.